RNAcentral lists this transfer RNA (83 nucleotides) under Actinomycetota bacterium. RNAcentral describes it as "Actinobacteria bacterium tRNA-Ser". Lineage: Bacteria; Bacillati; Actinomycetota. The record is from RNAcentral.
GGAAGGACUGCCAUCGGCGCGGUAUCCCGUCUCGAAAACGGGUCGGCCUCACGGCCUUGGGGGUUCGACUCCCUCUCCUUCCG